This is a non-coding RNA of Triticum aestivum (bread wheat), 125 nucleotides long. The record is from Rfam. Lineage: Eukaryota; Viridiplantae; Streptophyta; Magnoliopsida; Poales; Poaceae.
UUAUUAUUCCCUCCGUCCGGAAAUACUUGUCGUAGAAAUGCAUAAAAAUUGAUGUAUCUAGAACUAAAAUACAUCUAGAUAUAUCCAUUUCUCCGACUAGUAUUUCGGGACGGAGGGAGCAUUUG